CACGCUGUAAACGAUGAUAACUGGGUUUUUAGAAUUUACUUUUAAGAGCCUGAGGGAAACCAUUAAGUUAUCCACCUGGGGAGUACGUUCGCAAGUAUGAAACUCAAAGGAAUUGACGGGGGCCCGCACAAGCGGAGGAACAUGUGGUUUAAUUCGAUGAUACGCGAGGAACCUUACCCGGGUUUAAAUGUAGAUUGCAUAGAGUAGAGAUAUUCUUUUCCUUCACGGGACCAUCUACAAGGUGC
RNAcentral lists this ribosomal RNA (245 nucleotides) under uncultured bacterium. RNAcentral describes it as "partial 16S ribosomal RNA". It matches the Rfam family "Bacterial small subunit ribosomal RNA", at positions 796 to 1041 of the family's 1533-position model. The record is from RNAcentral.